AAUGCAAGCAGAUGAAGAGGAAAGAACUGAGCAGCAGUAUUUCAGGAUUCUCAAUAAGGCAUCAAUGAAAAAAGGUCAAAACUGUGAUCCCUGCUACUUGGGAGGCUGAGACACAAGAAUUGCUUGAAUCCAGGAGGCGGAGGUUGCAGUGAACCAAGAUCAUGCCACUGAACUCCAGCCUGGGUGACAGAGCAAGAGUCUGUCUCAAAAAAAAAAAAAAGAAAAGAAAAAGAUAUUGCUUAGAAAAGUAACUUGAGUCCUGUUGAGCCUAAGUAAAGGACAAUAAUGGAAGUUUCUAGUCUGCAAAAUAUGAAGAUGCCCCUCAGAGACACAGCUGUGGGUGCCUCUCACAAGACAGAUGUUCAGGAAAACUGGGCUGUUGCUCUGGAAUUUUCAAUGAGUUAUUUUACUUGUUUUUGCCUCAGUUUACAGAAAAUAAACUGGCAACAAUAUCUCCUUGUUAUUGUGAGGAUAAAAUAAAAGGUGUGACAUUUCUAUUUUAAAUGUAUAAAAUGCCGAAAAAUUGGAGGCAACUGGAAGGUACAGUAGUGGAUGUGAGGUAGUAAGGGGGAAAAAAGGAUAUGUAAAUCACCUAAGAUGAAAUAGACAUUCAGAAGGCCGUAACGUGAAGUGUGAGUGACACUGAUUCGCUAAAAAUCCUAUAUAGUGUCUUAAAACAGCAGCAGUAACAACAACAAAGUUUAUUUGAGAGGAGGAAUUCUGGAAAAAAGCUUCUUUCAAAAAAAAAAAAAGAGUCUUCUAGUGCUCAGACAGUUCGUUCCUCUGCAAAGGCGGGUUACUCUGUUGGGGUCCAUUAUAGUUCUGAGGAUGAAUAGGACAGGACAAGGAGAUGGUUCCUGGCCCCUGUUCUCCUGCCACAGAUCUGUCCCACCUCCCAGGCUCCAUGCAUACAGUGACAGAGAUGGAAAGCCCAGAACCAGUCCCUUUAAUGCACUUAUUUGCAAAACAAGAUGUCACUAUGCAGCAGAGUGACAGUCCUUUCCCCUGGAACUGUCCCAGAGUUCUCCAAGCUGAAGCCAGGGCUACAUUCACCAUCUCAGACUCCUGCUGAGCUAAGUAACCACCCUCUCCUACCUUCUCUUCAGGAGCCCUGGCACCCUUGCUCUGGGGAGAGUUUGAAGAGCAACCUGAAAGUUCCCACAGUUUUUCCUCAAAUCUGGGUUUCCAUGAGCAUGGGCCACCAGUCGGGAGAGCCACAUGCCUGCCCUUGCCUGGCUCAAGACUGUCACUCUGUCAGAUUCAUAUCGCUCUCUGACCCUUAGCCUUCCAGUCUGGAUCUUGACCUUGAACUGGACUCUGUAGGAAGUUCUUAACAUUAAAGGAAGUUAUUUAUCUCUUUUCAACUAACCCAAGCACUUUCUAGCACCUUUUAGCAGUUUAAGCUCUAUGACUCCAUUGGAUAAAAUGCUGGGGAGCAGGACAUUGACACAGUCACAGAAUAUCACACACGGAAUCCUCAUUCAUUCCCCCAGGGAAACAGCACCUGUAGAAGACAAAUCUGGUAGACACUACUGUGACAGGUGAUUUUAUAUGUCAGCUUGACUAGGCCACAGGAUGUGUAGACAUUUGUCAAAUUUUUUUUUAUAUGUCUGUGAGGAUGUUUCUGGAUGAGAUUAACAUUGAAUCAGUAGACUGAGUAAAGAAGACCGCCCUCCCCAGUGGGGGUGUCCCUCAUCCAACCUGUGGAAGCCCUACAUAGAACAAAAAGGCUGAACCUCCCCCAAAAUACGGUGAUCUCAAGCUGCCUGACUUCUGGUGCUGGAACAUUGUUCUUUUUCUGCCUUCCGACUCAAACUGAAAAUCAGCUCAUCUUGUAUCCUGAGUCUGCUGGCUUCCAGACUGAACUAUACAUUGACUCUCCCAGGUUUCCAGCUUGCAACUGCUGGUCUUGGGACUUCUCAGCCUCCAUAAUCAUGCAUUAGCCAAUUUCUAUAUAGAUCUAGAAAUUCAUAUAUAUAUAUGUGUGUGUGUGUGUGUAUGUGUGUGUGUGUGUGUACGCAUAUAUAUACAGUCAUGAAUCACUGAGCAGUGGGCAUACCUUCUGAGAAAUGUGUCAUUAGGCACUGUUAUCAUUGUGUGAACAUCAUAGUGUACUUACACACACCUAGACGGUAUAGCCUACAACACACCUAGGCUAUAUAGUAUAACUUGUUGCUGGUAGAUUACAAACCUGUACAACCUGUUACUGUACUGAAUACUGUAGGCAAUUGUAAAACAAUGGUAAGUAUUUGUGUAUCUAAACAUAGCUAACCAUAGAAAAGGUACAGUAAAAAUACUGUAUAAGAGAUAAAACAUGGUGUGCCUGUAUAGGUUGCUUACCAUAAAUAAAGCUUGCAGGUUGGAAGUUACUCUGGGUGAGUCAGUGAGUAAAUGAUGAGUGAAUGUGAGGCCCUUGGACAUCACUGUACCCUACUGUAGACUUUAUAAACACUGUACACUUAGGUUACCCUAAAUCUAUUUUAAAAUUGUUUUCUUUCUUCAAUAAUAAAUUACCCUUAGCUUACUGU
Homo sapiens (human) is the source of this 2528-nucleotide long non-coding RNA. Ensembl annotates it as long intergenic non-protein coding RNA 1923. The record is from Ensembl. Lineage: Eukaryota; Metazoa; Chordata; Mammalia; Primates; Hominidae.